Molecule: ribosomal RNA, 515 nt
Filed under: uncultured bacterium
Lineage: Bacteria
Description: partial 16S ribosomal RNA
Rfam family: Bacterial small subunit ribosomal RNA
Source: RNAcentral
GAUGAACGCUGGCGGCGUGCCUAAUACAUGCAAGUCGAGCGAAUGGAUUAAGAGCUUGCUCUUAUGAAGUUAGCGGCGGACGGGUGAGUAACACGUGGGUAACCUGCCCAUAAGACUGGGAUAACUCCGGGAAACCGGGGCUAAUACCGGAUAACAUUUUGAACCGCAUGGUUCGAAAUUGAAAGGCGGCUUCGGCUGUCACUUAUGGAUGGACCCGCGUCGCAUUAGCUAGUUGGUGAGGUAACGGCUCACCAAGGCAACGAUGCGUAGCCGACCUGAGAGGGUGUUCGGCCACACUGGGACUGGGACACGGCCCAGACGCCUACGGGAGGCAGCAGUAGGGAAUCUUCCGCAAUGGACGAAAGUCUGACGGAGCAACGCCGCGUGAGUGAUGAAGGCUUUCGGGUCGUAAAACUCUGUUGUUAGGGAAGAACAAGUGCUAGUUGAAUAAGCUGGCACCUUGACGGUACCUAACCAGAAAGCCACGGCUAACUACGUGCCAGCCGCCGCCGUAA